AAUUUAAUAAGGGGACGAUNAGGCCCUAUAAAACUUUAUGCACGACAUGUCCUGUCUUUGAAUUAUAUCCAAAUAUUGGUUGGCUAAAAGUGCAUUCCGUUGGGGAGACGUUGAUAUAAGCUGUAACUGUCUUAUUAAAUAGAAUAAUUAUUAUUAUAAUUUGAUCCUUCUUUGUGGAUAAAAAGAAUAAGUUACUUUAGGGAUAACAGCGUAAUUUUCUCAGAGAGUUCUUAUCGAAGAGAAUAGUUGCGGAGCCUCGAUGUUGAAUUAAA
This 272-nucleotide ribosomal RNA is filed under the name Palaemon elegans. RNAcentral describes it as "partial 16S ribosomal RNA". Lineage: Eukaryota; Metazoa; Arthropoda; Malacostraca; Decapoda; Palaemonidae. The record is from RNAcentral.